ACGGGUGAGUAACGCGUGGGAAUCUACCGUGCCCUGCGGAAUAGCUCCGGGAAACUGGAAUUAAUACCGCAUACGCCCUACGGGGGAAAGAUUUAUCGGGGUAUGAUGAGCCCGCGUUGGAUUAGCUAGUUGGUAGGGUAAAGGCCUACCAAGGCGACGAUCCAUAGCUGGUCUGAGAGGAUGAUCAGCCACAUUGGGACUGAGACACGGCCCAAACUCCUACGGGAGGCAGCAGUGGGGAAUAUUGGACAAUGGGCGCAAGCCUGAUCCAGCCAUGCCGCGUGAGUGAUGAAGGCCCUAGGGUUGUAAAGCUCUUUCACCGGAGAAGAUAAUGACGGUAUCCGGAGAAGAAGCCCCGGCUAACUUCGUGCCAGCAGCCGCGGUAAUACGAAGGGGGCUAGCGUUGUUCGGAAUUACUGGGCGUAAAGCGCACGUAGGCGGAUAUUUAAGUCAGGGGUGAAAUCCCAGAGCUCAACUCUGGAACUGCCUUUGAUACUGGGUAUCUUGAGUAUGGAAGAGGUAAGUGGAAUUCCGAGUGUAGAGGUGAAAUUCGUAGA
This 557-nucleotide ribosomal RNA is filed under the name uncultured bacterium. RNAcentral's name for it is "bacterial SSU rRNA". It matches the Rfam family "Bacterial small subunit ribosomal RNA", at positions 102 to 694 of the family's 1533-position model. The record is from RNAcentral.